GACGAACGCUGGCGGCGUGCUUAACACAUGCAAGUCGAGCGGAAAGGCCCUGCUUUUGUGGGGUGCUCGAGUGGCGAACGGGUGAGUAACACGUGAGUAACCUGCCCUUGACUUUGGGAUAACUUCAGGAAACUGGGGCUAAUACCGGAUAGGAUCUCCUGCUGCAUGGUGGGGGAUGGAAAGUUUCGGCGGUUGGGGAUGGACUCGCGGGUUAUCCGCUUGUUGGUCGGGUAGUGGCGUACGAAGCCUUUGAAGGGUAGCCGGCGUUGGAGGGUGACCGGCCACAUUGGGACUGAGAUACGGACCAGAAUCCUACGGGAGGCAGCAGUGGGGAAUAUUGCACAAUGGGCGGAAGCCUGAUGCAGCAACGCCGCGUGCGGGAUGACGGCCUUCGGGUUGUAAACCGCUUUCGCCUGUGACGAAGCGUGAGUGACGGUAAUGGGUAAAGAAGCACCGGCUAACUACGUG
Molecule: ribosomal RNA, 468 nt
Filed under: uncultured bacterium
Lineage: Bacteria
Description: partial 16S ribosomal RNA
Rfam family: Bacterial small subunit ribosomal RNA
Source: RNAcentral